UGGUCACAUCGCUUCAUCUGGAUUCAGGUUUCUCCUGGUUGUUGCUACACUGUCCACUUUACAGCUCAACAAACCUGUGAGACGUUCGCAGCUUAAGCAGAGCAGCAGCUAGGACCACAGGCCACAGGUGGGAUCUGUGAUGGGGAUCCCGACGGGGACUUUUGGAUCUUUAGGGGAUCAGUAGAAACCAGCUUGGUCAAGGCUCAGCGGCACUUUCUGCCUUUGCAUAAAAGCCAGCACAAUCCUGCCCGAGGUGGUCCACGCCCUGCUGGCUGCGCUAAGUGCUCCCCACACACCGUGUUCAGUCCUUACAGCCGACCCGAGCCUCAGGUAAGAAACUGUGUAAGCUUCAAGAACAGCAGGAAGAAGAGGCAUCUCCAAACCAGUCUUCCUGGCUACUUGGCAGUUCUCCAAGAAGACUUGGCCUAGUCUGGGAUAGUAG
Molecule: long non-coding RNA, 442 nt
Organism: Pan troglodytes (chimpanzee)
Lineage: Eukaryota; Metazoa; Chordata; Mammalia; Primates; Hominidae
Exons: 4
Source: RefSeq, a predicted model, not a curated record